Molecule: non-coding RNA, 341 nt
Organism: Pelobates cultripes (western spadefoot toad)
Lineage: Eukaryota; Metazoa; Chordata; Amphibia; Anura; Pelobatidae
Source: the annotation of a GenBank genome assembly
CUUUAUUUCUCCUAGAGAGUCUGUCAAAUGUUUCACAAAUAACACUAAAUAGCACAAACAGUAUUAAAUGCCAGUAACAGUUUUCCUGUUCUGUCUAGGCAUUGCUAGAAGCACAGUAUCCCCCCCACAACAAAUAUAGACAGCUCUAUAAAGUCUCCCUUUAUUAUGCUUUAUCAUGGACUUUAUUUCCUGAACUAUAUGAACAACAAUGAAGCAUUUUGAUAUUUCCUAUCAGAGUGCAGGUUGUGAUUACUGAUGUGUCGAGUCUGUUUCCCAGAAAAUAACUGUUCUAAAAAAAAAUAUAGUUCUAUGCGUAAAAAUCUGGGCCCCAAAUUUCAGUG